UGGGGAAUAUUGCACAAUGGGCGAAAGCCUGAUGCAGCGACGCCGCGUGAGGGAAGAAGGUUUUCGGAUUGUAAACCUCUGUCCUCAGGGAAGAAAAUGACGGUACCUGAGGAGGAAGCCACGGCUAACUACGUGCCAGCAGCCGCGGUAAUACGUAGGUGGCAAGCGUUGUCCGGAAUUACUGGGUGUAAAGGGAGCGUAGGCGGGACGACAAGUUGAAUGUUAAAAUUAUGGGCUUAACCCAUAAGUGCGUUCAAAACUGUCGUUCUUGAGUGAAGUAGAGGCAGGCGGAAUUCCUAGUGUAGCGGUGAAAUGCGUAAAUAUUAGGAGGAACACCAGUGGCGAAGGCGGUCUGCUGGGCUUUAACUGACGCUGAGGCUCGAAAGCGUGGGUAGCAAACA
This is a ribosomal RNA of 401 nucleotides. It matches the Rfam family "Bacterial small subunit ribosomal RNA", at positions 355 to 774 of the family's 1533-position model.